GUGAAAUUGUUGAAAGGGAAACGAUUGAAGUCAGUCGUGCGGUCACUAACUCAACGGCCGUUGUGAGCUUUCAACGGAAGCGGCGAGCCUCAAAACCGCCACUUCUGUUGAAAGCUCGCAACGACCGUGUAAUUUGGUGUUUGCUGGUCAGCAUCAAUUUCGAUUGUCAUAAAAAGGUCGAGGGGAUGUGGCUCCUUCGGGAGUGUUAUAACCCUCGGCGGAAUGUGGCGAUCGGGAUUGAGGUUUGCAACGGUGCCAGUUUCCUGGCCUCUCGUCGGCGCCCGGGUGGCGACAGCUUGCUGACGUCGUUCGGAUCAGUUGGCGAAAAGGUUGGAGCGACUGAAUCGUUUAAGGAUGCUGACGUAAUGGCUUUAAACGAC
This 380-nucleotide ribosomal RNA is filed under the name uncultured Entrophospora. Its description in RNAcentral is "uncultured Claroideoglomus partial 28S ribosomal RNA". Lineage: Eukaryota; Fungi; Glomeromycota; Glomeromycetes; Entrophosporales; Entrophosporaceae. The record is from RNAcentral.